ACCGGCUUCCGCCGCUUGCGACUGGCGUAGGUGAUGUUGGCGCUGCUGCUGUUCAUGGUGCCCAGCCGACGGCGGCGGCUACUCCCCGGGCACUGGCGGCCGGGUCCCCGGAACCCGGUGUAGGCUGGGACCACUGCGGCGGCCGGCGCCGGGUUCCGCGAAGCCGCGCCCGCUCCACCUGCGUCCUCUCGGGACAGUGGCGUGGGCGCCGCGCCUCAACGCCUCGGCUCACGCAGGCUUCCGCAGCCCGCGCCAGUACAGAUGGAGUCUCAGUCUGUCACUAAGGCUGGAGUGCAGUGGCGCGAUCUCGGCUCACUGCAACCUCCACCUCCCGGGUUCACGCGAUUCUCCAGCCUCAGCCUUCCACGUAGCUGGGACUACAGGUGCAUGCCACCACACCCAGUGUUGUGAACCACUUGUCAUGGGAUAACCAAAAUUAAACCUGGAAUCGCAGAAGAAACAAAUUUUUUGAAGAAAUUGGAUGUACUUUUUUAAAAUUUUUCAUUCAACUAAAACUUUGUUAACUGUUUCUUGGUUGUGGUCUUCUCUAAAUUGUAAUCUUUGGCAUUCACUUCCAAAGUAUCCACCACUAAACUUCAUAACAUUUAUUGUGUCUCUUCAUCAUUAAACUUUGAUGAAUUUACAGAGUGUCUUUUGAAAUUAUGUUCUUGAGAAAGCCAGGGGAUUGGACGGUGUCAUGGAAAUGUCAAAGAAAAAGUGACACCUGAGAGAAAAUUUGAAAGAUGAAAGCAGAUGCACUAAAGAGG
This 767-nucleotide long non-coding RNA is filed under the name Homo sapiens (human). RNAcentral's name for it is "non-protein coding lnc-AGR3-1:10". Lineage: Eukaryota; Metazoa; Chordata; Mammalia; Primates; Hominidae. The record is from RNAcentral.